AAUACAAGCUGUUCUAUCGCUGUUCUGCGUAAGCGGAAGAGAGGAAAGUCCGGGCAACAUAGAGCAUCUCGCUUCCUAACGGGAAGGCGUUUAGGAUUGAAUACCUGAAUGACGGAAAGUGCCACAGAAAAUAUACCGCCCCAAUUUAUUGGAGUAAGGGUGAAAACGUGAGGUAAGAGCUCACGAACUCGUUAAGUGAUUAACGUUUUGGUAAACCCCGGGAGUUGAAAGACCAAAUAGGCUAACGUAUGUAGGGCUGCUCGUUCGAUGUUAGUGGGUAGGUCGUUAGAGAUAAACGGCGACGUUUAUAGUGGAUUAAUGAUAGAAGCCCAAUUUAUUGGGAACAGAACCCGGCUUAUAGGCUUGUAUUUUUU
This 374-nucleotide RNase P RNA is filed under the name Pedobacter planticolens. Its description in RNAcentral is "Bacterial RNase P class A". It matches the Rfam family "Bacterial RNase P class A". Rfam says of the family: Ribonuclease P (RNase P) is a ubiquitous endoribonuclease, found in archaea, bacteria and eukarya as well as chloroplasts and mitochondria. Lineage: Bacteria; Pseudomonadati; Bacteroidota; Sphingobacteriia; Sphingobacteriales; Sphingobacteriaceae. The record is from Rfam by way of RNAcentral.